Molecule: long non-coding RNA, 3580 nt
Organism: Aedes albopictus (Asian tiger mosquito)
Lineage: Eukaryota; Metazoa; Arthropoda; Insecta; Diptera; Culicidae
Exons: 3
Source: RefSeq, a predicted model, not a curated record
ACCGAACGUCACACACACUCCCACGCAAAAUGCAGGGGUAUGGAAAGUGCAUGCAUCGAAGCGAAAGCACCGACACGAACUCGAGUCAGAUCACGCGAAUCAUCGAUCAAAGCGCAAUCGGUGAUAAUUAUGAAUGAAGCUCCGUCUAUCGGUCGGUCGGUCGCCUCGCGAAAGCCAUCACCAAUACACUCGUGGCGAAACAGACUCUGUUGUGUGGAACGAAUCUGUGAAGCAACAAUCGCUCGCGACGACCGUGUCCAUGUCGCGUCGUUUGAGUGUGUCUGUUCCCUCUACAAUGGCGACGAUGGUUGUGUGGUAGGGUUCACGGUUUGUCUGUCGUUCCCGUGCUCUCGAGGGUCAAGUCGCCAGUUAGUUGUUCGCUACAUUUCUACGCGUACGGCGGCGUUUCGGUGAAUUCGGUGGCUUCACGACUAGUUUUGUGUCAUUAUUGUGUAUAGAGAGGGAAUAUAUGUGAAAGGAUUCGCAUAAACGCAACCCUUAGCAUUCCAUGCAAACCGUCAACCCCUUUUUAUGUGAGUCGGAACUGGAAUGCCGUGUUCGGGGAAGAAACGGAAACAUCCGGUGUGACAGUUUAGAAGUGCAAAGGUUUCACUUUUGAUACCGAACUUCAAGUGAGAAUGUUUGAUACAAGCACAAAGCCACGGUGGUGAUUGGCGAUUAAUUAAGGUGAAAUUCGAGCGGAAGGCGGGAAGAAAGUUGGGAAAAAUAAGAAGAAAGUGACAUUAACCUUAAUGCAGGAAUGGAACGAAGGUGUACUGGAAAUAGUACAAGGCAAGGCAAUGAAUGAAUGAAACGGGCCAAGAUUUAAAGUGUGAAACGAGAAAAGUGUCAUUGAUGGACGCAACAGUUUGAAGAAGAUGCAUUGAAAAUUUAAGAAACAUGUAUCUACUUUAGCUGGGCGGAUAACGGUCACUGGAUUAAAGACAACCAAAGAUAAAUACAGUGGAACGACAAGUCUUCAUUUGCUUAACAAAAGGUAACUAUUUCAAUAAGAGGUUUACGCAGUAGAAGUAAGUUAAAAAAUUGUUCGAUCAUUGUCUUACAUAAAUAAAGUCAGUAAAUAAUCAUUAAAUCGUUUGUUAAAGUAAGUGUGGAAUGUAGGCUACAACUGCAGAACACGUUAUGGAAACCUUUUUAUUUUUGCCACAGAAGCACCUAGUAACAGGUGGAUGGCAACGGUUAUCAUUCCAUCGUGGCCAAAAAGUCGCAAAAGUGCGUGACAGUACACUACUGACAGCGAGGGUGGAUAUUAAUCCCUGGAGAAGCCUAACCGUUCCGAUACAAAAAAAAAAAGAAUAUAUCUUUUAUCUGGGUUUAUGUGCUCAGCUCAAUUCGUUUGUAUAGUGGUUAGCUCCAUAGAUCUGGGAAUUAUCCCAUUAGGUUGAUUGAAGAAUGUUAUGUACCUACAUAAUUGUCUUGAGGGAGAGGGGGGCUACUGUUUAACACGCAAAUAGCAACAUUCGUAGCCAAAGAGCGUGCUGGAUUCAUGAAUAAAAGUUAUUCCAUAUUCGGAAGUCUCUAUGAAGGUUUCUUCAAAUAUUUAUACUUCUAUGUGUGCCUUUCCAAAAUCUUAUGUCAAUGUUUGUAAUUUUGAAGCCAGGAAAUGUAGUAGAUGAUCGUCGUGUUAAAGUUAAAAUCUUUAAAACACAUAAAACGUUAAAGUAAGCUGCUUGCUGCAAACUUUGUUCAGGAGUUCUUUCCAAACUAGCUUUGUUUCGCUUCGCUCGCUUGUUUUAGAAUAUUCUGAAUUUGAGAGCGUGGAUUACUAAUGACUAUGUGACCCGAUACAGCAAACUCGCCAAUCGUUGCAUACUCUAUGAUUUUUCUAUGACGUGUGCAACAAUUGACGAUUUAUCCUAAUAUCCAAUUCAAAAUAACGUCCUGCCAAGAGCAAAAAAAAACGGGUUUUCUUGAAGAAUUCCUCCAGGUAUUUUUUCAGGAAAUUCUUCUGGGAAUUUUUCAAGGGACUUUUUCAGCCAAUUCUCCUUUGUGAGUUCCUCCAUGGACGCUAUGUGAGGUUCCAAUAGUGAUUGUUCCAGGGCUUGUUCUAAAAAAUGUUCAAGGAAUUCCUCCCACGAUUUCUUUCGAUUUUUUUACAGAUACUUCUUGUUCUUCUUCUUUAUGGCUCUACAUCCUCACUGGGACUUGGCCUGCCUCACUUCAACUUAGUGUUCUUUGAGCACUUCCAAAGUUAUUAAUUGAAGGGCUUUCUUUGCCUGUAUAUUGUGAGGCAAGGGAGUCGAGAAAAUUUUCCCGACUGGAACGUGCAUUGAACCCACCGUCUUCGGAUUGGCGAUCCAAGGACGAACGGGACGGUCGAGGAAAUAUCCGCCAUUUAUCUGUUGCUAUUAAGAUGGUAAUCUCAGAUUCUACUUCAUAUUUUGCAUCAAAAACCUAUCAUUGUGUAUGCUCACUUGCAGUGCAUAUGCUGAUUGUUUUUCAGCAUCUUCUGUGCGAUAGAACUCGAGAUUACCAUCUUAAAAAUCGCGAGGCAAAUUGUUAGAAAAAGAGGUAAGAUAGGAAAAAUAACACUGCGUCCCGUUUCACCUUAACCACUAGGCUAACUGGAGACCCCAGCUACUUCUGCAUUGAAAAAUUCAUCAAGGAAUUUUCCCAUAGCUUCAAUGAUUCCGCCAUGAACUGUUCCAGAGAUUCCUUCAAGAAUUUCUCUAGGGAUUUCACCCCGACAUUCCUGCGGGAAUUUCUCCUGAGAUAUCUUUAGAAGUUCCUCCAGUUAUUUUUCUAGUGCUUUUCUCGAGAUUACUUUCAGAAAUCCCUCCAGGGAUUCUCGAAGGGAUUUCAAUAGAAAUUCUUUUAGAGAUUUCUGCAAGUGCUCCUUCAGAGAUUUCUUCAGGGAUUUUUCCUUCAAGAAUUAUUUUAGAGAUUGCCCCAAUAAUACCCUCUGAAAUUAUUCGAAGUACUUCGGCAGCAAUUUCUUCCAGGAUCUAUCGGUAAAUUUUACCAGAGAUGAUUUAAAAAAUAAUCCACAAAUUUCUUGAAAAGUUUGUACAAAAAAUCAUUUUUACAUCCAAAGAUUCCUUCAAUAAUUCACUAAGAAAUUAUUGCAAAUAUAGAUUCCUUCAGAUUUUUUUCUAGAGACUCCUACAGAAAUUUUUUCAGGAAUUCACUUAGAAAGCUCUCCGGGGACCUCCUAAGGAAUUCCUCUUGGGAUUGCUUCCGGAAUUCCUUCUGGGGUUUGAUCAGGAAUUCCUCUCAAAUAUUCUUGCUUGAAUUCCUCUAACGAUUUACUCGGGAAUUCCUUCUGGGAUUCUCUAAGGGACAACUCCAGGAAUUAUUUGGAAAAUUCCUUCAAGCAUUCCUCCGUCAACUCUUCUUGGUAUUGCUUCAAGAAUUCCUCCGGUCAUUCAUUCAGCAGCUCCUCCAGGAGUUCAUCUAGGAAAUCCUCCAGGAAUUCUUUAGGGUUUCCCACGCGAAUUCCUCUUGGGAUUGCAUCCGGGUUUCCUCCUGGGCUUUCUUCGAGAAUUCUUCCAGGCACUCCUCCUGGGAUUUCUCUAGGGAUUUCUCCGGGGACUCCUCCAGCAAUUUUUUCAGGGAUUUC